GGUCACGUAGUGCAAUGGGCAUAGCCCAAUUAUCAACGCUGAGCUCUUCCCGGUUCAAGUCCGGGCGUGACCA
Ramaria rubella is the source of this 73-nucleotide non-coding RNA. NCBI's taxonomy places the organism in Eukaryota, Fungi, Basidiomycota, Agaricomycetes, Gomphales, Gomphaceae. The record is from the annotation of a GenBank genome assembly.